RNAcentral lists this ribosomal RNA (462 nucleotides) under uncultured Methanosaeta sp. RNAcentral describes it as "bacterial SSU rRNA". It matches the Rfam family "Archaeal small subunit ribosomal RNA", at positions 877 to 1338 of the family's 1478-position model. Lineage: Archaea; Methanobacteriati; Methanobacteriota; Methanomicrobia; Methanotrichales; Methanotrichaceae. The record is from RNAcentral.
CACUACAACGGGUGGAGCCUGCGGUUUAAGUUGGAUUCAACGCCGGAAAUCUCACCGGGGCGACAGCAAUAUGAAGGUCAGGCUGAAGACCUUACCCGAUUAGCUGAGAGGUGGUGCAUGGCCGUCGUCAGUUCGUACUGUGAAGCAUCCUGUUAAGUCAGGCAACGAGCGAGACCCACGUCCACAGUUGCCAGCAUACCCUCCGGGGUGAUGGGUACACUGUGGAGACCGCCGCUGCUAAAGCGGAGGAAGGAGUGGGCAACGGUAGGUCAGUAUGCCCCGAAUCUCCCGGGCUACACGCGGGCUACAAUGGUUGGUACAAUGGGCAUCUACCCCGAAAGGGGAAGGAAAUCUCUUAAAGCCAAUCGUAGUUCGGAUUGAGGGCUGCAACUCGCCCUCAUGAAGCUGGAAUCCGUAGUAAUCGCGUUUCAACAGAACGCGGUGAAUACGUCCCUGCUCCUU